CAGGCCUAACACAUGCAAGUCGAACGAGACCUUCGGGUCUAGUGGCGCACGGGUGCGUAACGCGUGGGAAUCUGCCCCUUGGUUCGGAAUAACAGUUAGAAAUGACUGCUAAUACCGGAUAACGACGUAAGUCCAAAGAUUUAUCGCCGAGGGAUGAGCCCGCGUAGGAUUAGCUAGUUGGUGUGGUAAAGGCGCACCAAGGCGACGAUCCUUAGCUGGUCUGAGAGGAUGAUCAGCCACACUGGGACUGAGACACGGCCCAGACUCCUACGGGAGGCAGCAGUGGGGAAUAUUGGACAAUGGGCGAAAGCCUGAUCCAGCAAUGCCGCGUGAGUGAUGAAGGCCUUAGGGUUGUAAAGCUCUUUUGUCCGGGACGAUAAUGACGGUACCGGAAGAAUAAGCCCCGGCUAACUUCGUGCCAGCAGCCGCGGUAAU
Molecule: ribosomal RNA, 435 nt
Filed under: uncultured bacterium
Lineage: Bacteria
Description: bacterial SSU rRNA
Rfam family: Bacterial small subunit ribosomal RNA
Source: RNAcentral